UAAGCGGUGGAAACGCCGUCUAAUACCGGAUAUGACACACCAUCUCCUGGUGGUGUGUGGAAAGUUUUGUCGGUCAGGGAUGGGCUCGCGGCCUAUCAGCUAGUUGGUGGGGUAAAGGCCUACCAAGGCGAUUACGGGUAGCCGGCCUGAGAGGGCGACCGGCCACACUGGGACUGAGACACGGCCCAGACUCCUGCGGGAGGCAGCAGUGGGGAAUAUUGCACAAUGGGCGAAAGCCUGAUGCAGCGACGCCGCGUGGGGGAUGACGGCCUUCGGGUUGUAAACCUCUUUUACCACCAACGCAGGCCCCGGGUUCUCUCGGGGUUGACGGUAGGUGGGGAAUAAGGACCGGCUAACUACGUGCCAGCAGCCGCGGUAAUACGUAGGGUCCGAGCGUUGUCCGGAAUUAUUGGGCGUAAAGAGCUCGUAGGCGGCGUGUCGCGUCUGCUGUGAAAGACCGGGGCUUAACCCCGGUUCUGCAGUGGAUACGGGCAUGCUAGAGGUAGGUAGGGGAGACUGGAAUUCCUGGUGUAGCGGUGAAAUGCGCAGAUAUCAGGAGGAACACCGGUGGCGAAGGCGGGUCUCUGGGCCUUACCUGACGCUGAGGAGCGAAAGCAUGGGGAGCGAACAGGAUUAGAUACCCUGGUAGUCCAUGCCGUAAACGUUGGGCGCUAGGUGUGGGGACUUUCCACGGUUUCCGCGCCGUAGCUAACGCAUUAAGCGCCCCGCCUGGGGAGUACGGCCGCAAGGCUAAAACUCAAAGGAAUUGACGGGGGCCCGCACAAGCGGCGGAGCAUGUUGCUUAAUUCGACGCAACGCGAAGAACCUUACCAAGGUUUGACAUCACCCGUGGACCUGUAGAGAUACAGGGUCAUUUAGUUGGUGGGUGACAGGUGGUGCAUGGCUGUCGUCAGCUCGUGUCGUGAGAUGUUGGGUUAAGUCCCGCAACGAGCGCAACCCUUGUUCCAUGUUGCCAGCACGUAAUGGUGGGGACUCAUGGGAGACUGCCGGGGUCAACUCGGAGGAAGGUGGGGACGACGUCAAGUCAUCAUGCCCCUUAUGUCUUGGGCUGCAAACAUGCUACAAUGGCCGGUACAAUGGGCGUGCGAUACCGUAAGGUGGAGCGAAUCCCUUAAAGCCGGUCUCAGUUCGGAUUGGGGUCUGCAACUCGACCCCAUGAAGGUGGAGUCGCUAGUAAUCGCGGAUCAGCAACGCCGCGGUGAAUACGUUCCCGGGCCUUGUACACACCGCCCGUCACGU
This 1260-nucleotide ribosomal RNA is filed under the name Nocardiopsis exhalans. Its description in RNAcentral is "bacterial SSU rRNA". It matches the Rfam family "Bacterial small subunit ribosomal RNA", at positions 144 to 1402 of the family's 1533-position model. The record is from RNAcentral. Lineage: Bacteria; Bacillati; Actinomycetota; Actinomycetes; Streptosporangiales; Nocardiopsidaceae.